CUCCAUCCUUUUUUUCAUGGCUAUUUCAAUCUACCACUUUGCUGUGUUUGAGAAAAAUCCUUUGGAUAUGCUACCAAUAUCAUUCAGGGAUAUUGGCUGGCUGGCUGGCUGGCUGUAUUUCAAUCUAUCACUUCUGUAUUUCAAAUUCCAUUGUGCGCCGGGCUGAACAUGAUAUUUGUGCAUGUAAGUUACAAUGGCCUGGAUCAUUAGGCUACUCUUGGCUCUUACUAAUAAAUCUGUCAAAAAGUUCAUUUUACUCCCCUCACCUAUUUACUUUGUCCACUUACCCCUCCUAAGCAAAAUUUAGGCUCACUUUACUCCCCCAAACUAUUUCAUUUGGUCCAAUCUACCCCUAAUCAGAUUUCUCUUUUUUUUUCUUCAUGUGCAAGUUGAGUUUUAAUUUCAAAUUUUUUCAGUUGACUUAUAACAUGAUGCUCUACGUUAGAAAAAUACGUUAGCAAUUUUUCGUUAUUACUUUUUGUACAGUUUUGUAUAUCUAACAUCAAUUUUGUAUUAAAUAUUUCUAACCUAUGAAAUAAC
This 540-nucleotide long non-coding RNA is filed under the name Setaria viridis. RNAcentral's name for it is "long non-coding RNA (SVIR_LNC000435)". The record is from RNAcentral. Lineage: Eukaryota; Viridiplantae; Streptophyta; Magnoliopsida; Poales; Poaceae.